GCUUGCUUCAGCAGCAAGCAUACACUAAAAUUGGAACAAUACAGAGAUUAGCAUGGCCCCUGUGCAAGGACGACAUGCAAAUUCGUGUGGCGUUCCAUAUUUUU
This 104-nucleotide small nuclear RNA is filed under the name Moschus moschiferus (Siberian musk deer). The record is from RNAcentral. Lineage: Eukaryota; Metazoa; Chordata; Mammalia; Artiodactyla; Moschidae.